UACUUUCCACGGAGCGAUCGAUUUAUAAUCGACCGUUCCACGAUGGUGAGUCUUUCUGGCGUGGCCGAUACUUCACAUCCGACUAAUCGACCUACGCUUUGCUUUUUUCCUUUCUGUCGCCAAUCUCGAGAGCGCCGUAUCGCGUAGAAAAUUUAACUUGAAAUUCAAACUUGCAUUCAAAUGUUACGUAUC
This is a long non-coding RNA of Bombus impatiens (common eastern bumble bee), 192 nucleotides long. RefSeq lists it as uncharacterized. NCBI's taxonomy places the organism in Eukaryota, Metazoa, Arthropoda, Insecta, Hymenoptera, Apidae. The record is from RefSeq and is a predicted model, not a curated record. The transcript is spliced from 3 exons.